UUUUCUCUGCCUUAUAAAGGUAUCUUUCUUUGUUUUUUUUUUCUUCUUAUACCUCCGUAGUUUAUUAUUUUUAGACUAAUAUGAUAAAAUAAUUAGAUUAUCAAUUAGUCUACGUAUUUAUACAUUAGACCCUAGUCCGUAGCUAUUUUUUCUUCCGUAAAACAGCUUGGCCCUGAUUUUUCAAAUAGCAAUAACUUUUUAUUCGUUUGUCCAAAUCCAACGAAAUCAAUGCCCACUUUUUCGUUAUGAUCCCCUCUAUCCAGUAAUCUAACCCAAACAUGUUUUUGAAAUUUUCAAAUUUCGAAAUUUGUUUAGAUUCAUAUUCAAACUUCUUUUGAUCGUAACUUGAGUUCCGUAGCUCCGUUUGAGUUGAUUCUUUUUGCAAAUCGAAGCUCUUGACCUAAACAUUCUAAUAAGGCCAAAUUCACAUAAUUUUGGUACUGUUAGAAAUUGUUUUAUGUUUCAAGAGUUAUUUGCUUGGUUUUGACGUUUUCCGAAUUGUUUUCUUUGUUCUCUCCAAUCUUUGAGUGAUUGCUUAUGUGUGGUUACUAUUGCUUGCUUAUGAUAGAUUGACCGGAGUGAGACGAGUAGAUCUAUCAAGAUUUUUGAGUGCGAAUCAUCUUCAUCAACAUUGUAGGCAAGUUCACUCUUUGAUCAUAUCCCCUUUCAUACCCAGUUUUUAUGCAUUAGCUUCACCCUCAAACAUUGCAUGAGUAGGAUUGAUAACAUGUGGGUAUUGGGAAGUAGUUGAUGAGGUAGGAACCUAUUGCCCUGCAUUCAAACCUUGGGAGUUACUUUUACGUUAUGCUUACAUGGCCAUGCUAUGCUCGUAGACGUGGAUUGGGUUUGAGAGAAUUUCAUGACAGAUGUGAGAGAUUAUUGUUAACUAAGGUUUAACUUAAGGUGGCUACUUUAAUACACAUCUGGGUGGAUUGGUUGGGGCACCCUGGGGAUAUACCAGUGGACUUGCCCGGACACCUGGGGAUAUACCAGUGUUGUCCUAGGAGAUCCCGGGGUUACCGUGUGAUCAUCCUAUGGUUCGCCACCCAGGCUCAAAGGGAUCAUGAGAUUUUUCAUACUAGAAACUUCUGUGUGCAGCCACAAGCCAUUAUGGGCUCUGGCAUAGUUGAUUAAGUCGUGCGAACUCUUACAGGGUAGACUAGCAGAUGUAGGGGAAAGUAGGUGUACCGGUCUAUCCAACGUAAGGUGCUAGCGCUUCUGAAAGGCUGUGUCUCGGUCAUCCGUUUCUCAAACACCAUGUAGUGCGAGGAAUCCAACGGAGGCGAUCGAGUCUUGUGGGGAAAAGUGCACAAACCUCUGCAGAGUGUACAAACUAAUCAUGAUUAGCCGUGUCCCCGGUUAUGGACAUCUUGAGUAUCUAGUUCUUGGAUUAUCAUGUUGAUCUCAUCACGUUACUUUAAAUGAAUAUUGUUGGGUUUAAUGAUGUCACUUAAUUGGGAUUGAGAAUGCUGUCAACCAUUCUCAAUGUUCAACAACCACCAUGAUAGUUAAUUAAAAUGUAUUCCUUUGCAGUAGGGAAAAAUGGAUUUUCGCAAAAACAUUAUAACCAUAGAGCUUUUCCACCAGCCAUAUAUGCAUAUAGUGAUAGCCAUUGUUCAUCAUUUUCUCUAUGGUGUGAAUUUGCCAGUACAUUCAAUGUACUGACCCUCUGUGGCUGCAACGUCUCAUGUUGCAGGAUUAUCUUACGACGAGUAAGUGAUACGUUAGGGUUACGAUUUCUACACUCAACUUUGCCGUUGGUGUUGAUGGGAAUCCACAACCUUGUUACUUCCGCUAUUUUGGAUUUGAGGUAAUAGUAUUUGCGUUACUUAUACAUGUGAUUUACCUCUGUUAUAAAUCCUCGAGUACUGUGUGUGUCAGCAUAUCGAUCCAGGGAUGACACUUAAGCACAGAGACUUGACCCAUUCGGGUCGGGUCGCUACAAGAUGGUAUCAGAGCCAGGUUGACUAUAGGACGUGACCCUAGAAACUGGCAAGCCCAUAGCAAAAUUUUCUCUACAACUUUCCCUUUCAAAAAGAUAUUUUACCUCUCUUCUCUUCUGAGCUUAUUCAAAAAUUCUCUUUAGUGAGACCAUACACUUUCCCCUUUUGACCACUCGAAGAUUCCACUGAUGAGACCACUCCAAGAAGUACAAGAUAUUGGACAACUAAGACCACUUCGGAAUGAAGAGUAUUUUCCGUGCAUCUGAAUAAUGGAAACUACAACGGUUGAAGGCCGAAGACAAGUAGAAUUUGAAGGCUCUGAAGAAUUCCCAGAUUUAUAUGACCUAGGAAGGCUACCCUUAUGGAACUUGGGAGACUAUGGAAGUUGUCAAUACCCGAGAUCAAGGUGUAUUGGAGAAAGACCAAAACAUGGAGAGUAGAGAACUCAAAGAAAACCUUAAGGCAGGAGAUAUCAACUGGCAAGAUAGCUCAUGGCAAUGACAAGGGCAGAAACACGGUUAUCCGUGAUGUCAUCACCAUUGAUACUAUGGUCACCGAGCUGAGCUAAGCAUGCAUUCCUUCAGAAGGAUUGGAUGGUAGAAGGCUGAUGGAGCAUCUAUCAGCAAAGGAUGCAGUUUUAAACUUAGCUGGUGUAUCACCAAGAUCUGGAGUAGUACAUCAAGAAGUUUAAGGUGGAGCUCCAUGAAGCCGUAUUAGACAAGGAAAUAUUUCAUGAAGAACUCAGGAACCAAAAGCUGAAAGUAGCCAAGCUGGAGGAGCUACAACCUCGAGAUACCGGAGAUUUGUCAGGAACUGAAGGACAGUAGGACCAUGGUUCAUGCGAAGGAUGUUGAAACCAGAAGUUUGGAACGCAACUCCAGAAUAUUAAAGGACGUCACGAGAGACUUCGCGUCAUAAGAGUUGAUCUGGCAAAAGAACUUGAGAAGGACAAGCAUGAUCGGAAGAAGCCACUGGAGGCUUGAACAAGGCUUGAAGAGUUUGGAGACGUUGAAGAUUUAUUGACCUUUAGAAGACGAAACCCCUGUUAUAUACCUACGUUAGAUGCGAUGUUUGUGAGCUGUCAUUUGUUUGAUGUUUUCCCGACGGCCACAAAUAAAAUCUGUCUUUUCAAAACUUUUGUUUGUAUUGUGUGCAUCCCUCUCUAUAUCUCUUAUCUCACCCCAAACCCAUGGACCCAAUAGAGGACGAAUGGAGAUGAACUCAUGUUUUCCUGGACCGAUAAGUCAAUUGGAGACAGACCGAUGGAUUCAGAACAUGGAGGAUCACAUGGAGAAUAACCCUAUAGUUGGACAUGAUAUGACCCAGCAUGCUCUUCUGUGUUUUGAAAGAGGUGCUGCUACUUGGUGGAGGAUGUACCAAACCAUCAAUGGAUGGCAAGGAGUAACCACUUGGAAAGAAUUUAAGUUGACUUUGCCAAAGUCUCGGUUUGUGUCCUAGAAGUUAAAAUCUUAUGGAAAGGAUAUAAAGAAACCUUGUGCAUGCAAGCUUUGUGGAGAAAUAGGACACACCCAUAAAGAACACAAGGAUGAAUGCCCUAAUUGUGAAGGAAGUCACCCAAUUGAAGAAUGCCCAGUUAGGCAGAUUACUUGUUUCUUGUGUGAAGGGACUACCCACUACCCUGCUCAGUGUCACAUUUACCCCAUGGUACAAAGAACCAUCCAGCAGAAGAAAGAAGCAACGAGAGGAGACCUUAUGGAAAGUUUAGAAGAACCUGUGAUGAAGGAAGAUGUGGAGGACACACCCAAAGAAGAGCCAAUUAAACCCUGCACCAAGUCAUGCUAUUCAUGUGGAGAAGAAGGACACAUCUCCCAGAAUUGUUUGAAUGGGGAUUUAGUAGAAUUCCCGAUAGAGGAAGUAGAGUAUGACCCACUGGAAAUAGAAGCUCUGAUGGGAAUGGAAAAGUCCAGAAAGAGAAGUAGAUUGGAUUCCAGGAAGGAUCUGAGUCAUGUCACCUGUUAUAAGUGCAAGGAGUCAGGGCACUACCUCAGCAAUUGCCCAAAAAGGAAGCCAAGGACCCAAGUAGGCUACGUAAUCACAAGGAAACCUCGAAACCUGUCAGAAGUAAUAUGUUUCCGUUGUAAUGAAGCAGGGCACUUUCCCAGAGAUUGUCCGACGGAGAAGGAGACUUGUGAUAAAUAGUUGAGUUUGUAACAGAAGAAAUAUAGUAGUAGUAGUAGUAGUAGUAGUGGGAACAUUAUUCUUUUAUAUUGAGGUGUUGAGUUGAGACAUGUAAUGGAAAAUUCGAGAGAUUGUAAUCACUUGAGAAUGAAUAAAGUUAGCAUCGUUGGUACUGAUAUGGAUUUUAUGAGUUGUUACUCUAUGAAGAAGGAUUUUGACCAUUCUGAGGAUAUGAGAAAUAUGGUCUAUGGAAGAUUCGUGCAUUUUAAGGGUGGUAGUACCCUGUAAGAACCGUUGAUCCCUGGAAAAGAUAAGGAUACUCCACUGAGUGUCGGACAAAAAUGAAUACGAGUUUUGUCUUGAUAUGUGUGAUGCCCCAAGAGUAUGUGGGAUGAAGUUGGAGACCGUCAGUUGUUUGGACCAAAUGUGAUCAAGGAGUCAGAAGAGAAUGUUAAGUUGAUUCGAGAUAGACUGAAGGUAGCUCAGUCCAGGCAGAAGAGUUAUGUAGACUCAAAAACUCAAGGAGGUAGUCUAUGAAAUUGGAGACAGAGCAUGUCUUCGUGUGACCCCUCUGCGAGGAAUUAAACAAUUUGGAGUUAAGGGACAGUUAGCCCCGAGAUUUGUAGGACCAUACCGAGUUUUGGAGCAUAUGAGAGAAGUGGCCUACAAGUUUGAGUUACCCGAAGGACUGUCAGGAGUUCAUGAUGUGUUUCACGUUUCCCAGUUGAAGAAGUGCCAUGCAGAGAUGGCCAAUAUUCCCCUGUAAGGAUGCUUGACCGCGGAAAGGAUAAUGAUGUUCCACGAAGUGGAAUAUGGACUUCAUAAGUAUAAGUUUUUAUCUCGGUAUGAGGGAUAUCCCACGAGGAUGAAGAGAUGAAUUACUAUUGGAUAUAAAGGAGGUAUGAUGUCAGAAAUAUGGAUCAAUGGAAACUCCAUGAUGAGUCCGAGUAAUCAUGUCCUAGUUUGGUGCCAAUAGAAGGAAGGAAGAUAGUACAAUUGGAUAGAUUUAAGAAUACUAGGAAGUUGGAUGUUGGAAUAACGAUAAGUUGCCCAGAGGAUAAGUUCAAGGUUUACAAGUGAUGAGAUGGGCCAUAACCCACAGGCCCCAGGACCUGCCAAGAAGCAAGCACAUUCUUGCUGAAGGAAGAACCCUGGAAGAGGAUAUACCUUUGUCGACAGACAAUCUUAUAGGAGUAACGCAAAACCUGAGAGUUGUGAAGGAACGAUAGAUGUUUGUUUGGCUUGCAGAAUCCAUGGAAUUUUCCGAACUUAGUUCAUUGACAAGAGAAAUUCUGCAAUGCUUGUGAGGAUGACCGAGUGUUAGAAUGCGAGAUUCGCUAAACUGUAUACAUGGUAAUGAUUUGGGUGCGGGAUGGAUUGAUCACCAUACCGACUUACUCUUAUUAUUCGCCUUGCUAUAUGGGAUGGUAAAUCUGAGUGACUUACCUAUAGUAGAGAGACGACGAUCAAAACCUUGUUUAAGCCUUAGAAUGGUAUAAGUAUUUUUCCCUUGUACAUGGCAGCUUUGCCAACCGUAGGUUAUACGGUGAGGAUCAACCCAGACUCAUUUCCUGCAGGAGAAGCCAUAAAUUGUUAACCACCAUGAGAUAUCGAUAGUUAUUUAGAAUUGGCGCCAGACCGUCAGCUAAGAAGACCCAGUCUCGGAAUAACCUUACCUAGAUGAAAGACAGAAGAAUUGAGGAAAAGGUUAUGCCACUACCAGAAGAGCUCAGAGAAGGAAUUUUCUCAAGGAUCUGAGAAGACCGACACUGUCAAGAAUAAGGAUGGAGUAUAUGAGUUUUGAUGGAACCGUAAACAUGUUUCUAAGGGUGGUAGCACCCGAGACCCCCCUCAGACGAUUGAUGGAUUUUGAGGAGACCCCAAUUCCAACCUAUUUCUUUCUAGCCUCUCCGAAUCUCGAGGACGACAUUCAUUUUAAGGGUGGUAGGUUUGUAACAUCCCAAAAUUCUAAAUUUUGGAAUGUUAUAAUAAAUAGAUAGAUUUGAUUAAUUGUUUGAUUGAUUGUCUGAAAGUGAGUGAAUUCGAAACAUUUGAAAGUUAAAUGAGAGGGAAUAAAAGGACUUUCCCAAACUUUCAUGCUUCCUGAUCUCCAUGAAUUCAAAUUCUUUUCAAAUACAAAACCCUUGAGCGAAGAUGAUAUGACUUCUUCCAUUUAAAAAAAUUAAAUGAAAGGGUAUUUGAAAAUAAUUGAAUUUCAUUUGGAAAUAUUUCAAUUCAUAAACUUCAUGCACCUCAAUGAUUUUCAUGAGAGAAGAUAAAAUGACUUCUUCAAAUUAUAUGAAAUAUGAGUUGGGAGUUUCAAAGAAUUAAAUUCAAAGUUCUUUUGAAUUUAUUUUCAAUUUGGAGUUAUUUGAGUUUUAUUCAAAUUAUUUUUCUCCAAAAAUAAAAUAUAUGGAAAUUAGGGUAACAUGAUUCCCUACAACAGAAAAUUGGAGAAAAAUUCAUUUGAAAUCAUUUUGGUAUUUUUAAAAUGUUUUUGUUGGAUUCUAUUAGACCAGCAGCACUCUUUGAAUUAUCUGAAUUUGUGCGGAUUUUAUUUGGCAAUAUAAAAAUGUUCAUGUCGUAGAAAAAAAAACUGAAAAUUUUGAUAUAUAAUAUGCCUAUAUAAAGUUUUAUUUUAUUUUCGUUUUUCAGUUUAUCGCAUUCUGUUAAAAAAAAACUGCGCGCGCGCCUGAAACUAACUGUCGCCUACAUGCACAGUAUAGUACUUCUGGCGCCCCAUUGUUUUUUUUUUCUCUUAAAUAGGCUAGGCCCAGCCAGUCUUUUUUUUCUUAGGCAAAAUUUUGUAAAAAAAAAAACUGCACCGCGCGGCCGGCCGAAGGCCUUUAGGCCCCUCGCCUCUUUUCUUCUCUGUUUUGUAUAUUUUCGUCUACGUUUAGUCCCACAUUGCCUAGCCUUUGACCCCUAAGCCUCUUUUUCAUCAAUAAAUAUAGACCCAUAGAGCCUCCAAAAACCAUCCGAUUCGGAUUAAAUCAAUAUUUUGGUUUGACUAGAUUCAUUUAAGAAAAAUAUAUUUCUCUCUCCAGCGCGACUUUUGAAAAUUGUCUCCUCUCUCCAAAGUUAUCUUUUCUCUGCCUUAUAAAGGUAUCUUUCUUUGUUUUUUUCUUCUUAUACCUCCGUAGUUUAUUAUUUUUAGACUAAUAUGAUAAAAUAAUUAGAUUAUCAAUUAGUCUACGUAUUUAUACAUUAGACCCUAGCCCGUAGCUAUUUUUUCUUCCGUAAAACAGCUUGGCCCUGAUUUUUCAAAUAGCAAUAACUUUUUAUUCGUUUGUCCAAAUCCAAC
This 7386-nucleotide long non-coding RNA is filed under the name Triticum aestivum (bread wheat). RNAcentral describes it as "long non-coding RNA (TAES_LNC001851)". Lineage: Eukaryota; Viridiplantae; Streptophyta; Magnoliopsida; Poales; Poaceae. The record is from RNAcentral.